UCUGCAGCCAAGAAAACAAAACAGUGAAAGUGGGAAACACACACACACACACGCACGCACGCACGCAGAAAGAAGCGGGGGAGGAGGCUGAGAUUUAUAGACCUGCGAGCUGCUUUCUGCGCUGUGAAAUCUAAUUCCAUCCUGCCAGCUUGGAAGCCUUCCCCGCCUAGAAGAGCCUGUAGCUCAGGGCACUGCCUGGCUUGGGACCCUCCUGCCUCUCACCUUCCAGUCCUGACCAGCUCUUACUCCACUGGGCCAGGACGGUCCUCCUCGUGUGGCCUCUGAGCACUAAGGAAACUGAGACACCCAUGCACUUCCACGUCUUUUCCUGCUCACGGAACAGGUGAAGCCGCUUCCUUCUUUUCUUCCCGUUCUUUCCACAUGUCAGUCUCUUACGCUGAGCUCUCGACUGGCCAUU
Long non-coding RNA from Tupaia belangeri chinensis (Chinese tree shrew), 418 nucleotides. RefSeq lists it as uncharacterized. Lineage: Eukaryota; Metazoa; Chordata; Mammalia; Scandentia; Tupaiidae. The record is from RefSeq and is a predicted model, not a curated record. The transcript has 2 exons.